This 914-nucleotide ribosomal RNA is filed under the name uncultured marine archaeon. Its description in RNAcentral is "bacterial SSU rRNA". It matches the Rfam family "Archaeal small subunit ribosomal RNA", at positions 1 to 922 of the family's 1478-position model. The record is from RNAcentral.
UUCCGGUUGAUCCCGCCGGACCUGACUGCUAUCGGAUUGAUACUAAGCCAUGCGAGUCAUUGUAGCAAUACAAGGCAUACGGCUCAGUAACGCGUAGUCAACCUAACCUAUGGACGGGAAUAACCUCGGGAAACUGAGAAUAAUGCCCGAUAGAACACUAUACCUGGAAUGGUUUGUGUUCCAAAUGAUUUAUCGCCAUAGGAUGGGACUGCGGCCUAUCAGUUUGUUGGUGAGGUAAUGGCCCACCAAGACUAUUACAGGUACGGGCUCUGAGAGGAGUAGCCCGGAGAUGGGUACUGAGACACGGACCCAGGCCCUAUGGGGCGCAGCAGGCGAGAAAACUUUGCAAUGUGCGAAAGCACGACAAGGUUAAUCCGAGUGAUUUGUGCUAAACGAAUCUUUUGUUAGUCCUAGAAACACUAACGAAUAAGGGGUGGGCAAGUUCUGGUGUCAGCCGCCGCGGUAAAACCAGCACCUCAAGUGGUCAGGAUGAUUAUUGGGCCUAAAGCAUCCGUAGCCGGCUCUGUAAGUUUUCGGUUAAAUCUGUACGCUUAACGUACAGGCUGCCGGGAAUACUGCAAAGCUAGGGAGUGGGAGAGGUAGACGGUACUCGGUAGGAAGUGGUAAAAUGCUUUGAUCUAUCGAUGACCACCUGUGGCGAAGGCGGUCUACCAGAACACGUCCGACGGUGAGGGAUGAAAGCUGGGGGAGCAAACCGGAUUAGAUACCCGGGUAGUCCCAGCUGUAAACUAUGCAAACUCAGUGAUGCAUUGGCUUGUGGCCAAUGCAGUGCUGCAGGGAAGCCGUUAAGUUUGCCGCCUGGGAAGUACGUACGCAAGUAUGAAACUUAAAGGAAUUGGCGGGGGAGCACCACAAGGGGUGAAGCCUGCGGUUCAAUUGGAUUCAACGCCGGG